UGAAUUUUAACCUUCUUCUUUCCACGCUUGGCAUCAAAUAUAUCCUGUAUCUUCAUCACAAGCUGAAAAGAAAUGUAAAAGUUGAAUAUACCAGGAAGGCCCCAGCUGAAAAACAAAAAGCAUCUUGUUACUAUGUGUCCUAUUGAUAAGGCCUGGAGUAGUGGCAACAAUAACUGCAGUGUUCCAGAGCAAGGGAAAACAAGAUGUUUAACAGAUUGUGAAGGACAAAAGAUUUAAAAGAAGAAAAGUCAUACAGAAGCUCAAAGAGUGACUAUAGGGGAAGCAACAAUAAUCACUGUUAUACAGGCUGUGUCAUUUCUUCAGUGUUACAUGAAAAGAUAUAAUAAAAUAUUUACAAAAAUAUGAGGAGUGUCAUAUACUGUAUACACACACACACACACACACACACACACACACGUACUCAUGCAAACAUAGAAUAUGUGUCAACAGA
Long non-coding RNA from Hyla sarda, 451 nucleotides. RefSeq lists it as uncharacterized. The transcript is spliced from 3 exons. The record is from RefSeq and is a predicted model, not a curated record. Lineage: Eukaryota; Metazoa; Chordata; Amphibia; Anura; Hylidae.